RNAcentral lists this ribosomal RNA (504 nucleotides) under uncultured bacterium. RNAcentral describes it as "bacterial SSU rRNA". It matches the Rfam family "Bacterial small subunit ribosomal RNA", at positions 28 to 521 of the family's 1533-position model. The record is from RNAcentral.
GAUGAACGCUAGCGAUAGGCCUAACACAUGCAAGUCGAGGGGCAUCACAUGAGGUAGCAAUACCGAUGGUGGCGACCGGCGCACGGGUGAGUAACACGUAUGCAACCUGCCUUCAACAAGGGCAUAACCCGUUGAAAGACGGACUAAUUCCCUAUGACACAGGGGUCCCGCAUGGGGAUAUUUGUUAAAGAUUAAUCGGUUGGAGAUGGGCAUGCGUUCCAUUAGCUUGUUGGCGGGGUAACGGCCCACCAAGGCAACGAUGGAUAGGGGAACUGAGAGGUUUAUCCCCCACACUGGUACUGAGACACGGACCAGACUCCUACGGGAGGCAGCAGUGAGGAAUAUUGGUCAAUGGGCGCAAGCCUGAACCAGCCACGUCGCGUGAAGGAAGACGGCCCUACGGGUUGUAAACUUCUUUUGCAAGGGAAUAAAGUUGGCCACGCGUGGCCUUUUGCAUGUACCUUGCGAAUAAGGAUCGGCUAACUCCGUGCCAGCAGCCGCGGU